UACGUAGGGUGCAAGCGUUAAUCGGAAUUACUGGGCGUAAAGCGUGCGCAGGCGGUCCGCUAAGACAGAUGUGAAAUCCCCGGGCUUAACCUGGGAACUGCAUUUGUGACUGGCGGGCUAGAGUAUGGCAGAGGGGGGUAGAAUUCCACGUGUAGCAGUGAAAUGCGUAGAGAUGUGGAGGAAUACCGAUGGCGAAGGCAGCCCCCUGGGCCAAUACUGACGCUGAGGAGCGAAAGCGUGGGGAGCGAACAGG
RNAcentral lists this ribosomal RNA (253 nucleotides) under uncultured bacterium. RNAcentral's name for it is "partial 16S ribosomal RNA". It matches the Rfam family "Bacterial small subunit ribosomal RNA", at positions 524 to 776 of the family's 1533-position model. The record is from RNAcentral.